AAACAUCUCAGUACCUGGAGGAAAAGAAAUCAAGAGAGAUUCCGCAAGUAGCGGCGAGCGAACGUGGAAGAGCCUAAACCGGACGGUUUACUGUCCGGGGUUGCGGGACUCAGUCAUGGCAAGACAAAGGUUAGUUGAAUGCUGUGGAAAAAGCAGCCAUAGAAGGUGAUAGCCCUGUAAACGAAAACCAAUGAAAGCCUAUGAGUAUCCCAAGUAGAACGGGACACGUGAAACCCUGUUCGAAUCCGGAGAGACCACUCUCCAAGGCUAAAUACUAUCCGAUGACCGAUAGCGAACUAGUACCGCGAGGGAAAGGUGAAAAAGUACCCCCGUUAGGGGAGUUAAUAGUACCUGAAAUCAUGUGCUUACAAAGUGUAGGAGCCCUUAGGGGUGACUGCAUGCCUUUUGCAUAAUGAGCCUGCGACUUACUUUAUACAGCGAGGUUAAACCUUGGGUGGAGCCGAAGCGAAAGCGAGUGCGAAUAGCGCGACUAGUUGUAUGGAGUAGACCCGAAGCUGAAGUGAUCUAACCAUGGCCAGGUUGAACCUCCGGUAACACGGAGUGGAGGACCGAACCAGUGCGUGUUGAAAAACGUUUGGAUGAGCUGUGGUUAGGGGUGAAAGGCCAAUCAAACUCAGUGAUAGCUGGUUCUCCUCGAAAUAGCUUGAGGGCUAGCCUUGUGAAUUUAGUUUAUGGGGGUAGAGCACUGAUUGUUAGAGGGCCCUGACCGGGGUACCAAAAACUAUCAAACUCCGAAUACCAUAAAUGUUAUCACAGGAGUCAGACUGUGAGGGAUAAGCUUCAUAGUCGAAAGGGUAUCAGCCCAGACCGCCAGCUAAGGUCCCAAAUCUGGACUAAGUGGAAUUGAAGGAUGUGAAGUUGCUAAAACAACCAGGAUGUUGGCUUAGAGGCAGCCAUCAUUUAAAGAGUGCGUAAUAGCUCACUGGUCGAGUGAUUUUGCGCCGAAGAUGAUCGGGACUAAGUCCAGAACCGAAGCUGCGGGCCGUAAGUUUACUUACGGCGAUAGAGGAGCGUUGUAUACGGGGUAAAGCGUAAAGGUGACUGAGCGUGAACUGUAUACAAGCGACCAUGCAGGCAUGAGUAGCGAAAAACCGGAUGAAAAUUCCGGUCACCGAAAACCUAAGGUUUCCUGGGGCAGGUUCGUCCACCCAGGGUUAGUCGGAUCCUAAGGCGAGGCCGAAGGGCGUAGUCGAUGGACAACAGGUUAAUAUUCCUGUACUACCUUAUUUUAGCGAUGGAGGGGUGCAGUAUGCUAAGUGAGCUGGUUAUUGAUUUACCAGUCUAAAGACGCAGGAUGUCAGGCAGGAAAAUCCACUUGACACAAAUCCGAGGUCUGAACAGGCGCUGAGUGCUUCGGCACAAGGCGAANNNNNNNNNNNNNNNNNNNNNNNNNNNNNNNNNNNNNNNNNNNNNAAUAAGGUAUCCGUACCGUAAACCGACACAGGUAGGUAAGGCGAGAAGCCUAAGGUGCGCGAGAGAAACCACGUUAAGGAACUCGGCAAAUUAACCCCGUAACUUAGGGAGAAGGGGUGCCGUUCUGGUAAAGGGAUUUACUCCCGGAGCUAAGGACGGUUUCAACAAAGAGGCCACUGCGACUGUUUAACAAAAACAUAGCACUCUGCUAACUCUUAAGAGGAUGUAUAGGGUGUGACACGUGACCAAUGCCGAAAGGUCAAACGGAGGGGUUAUUCCAGCAAUGGGAGAAGCUCUGAUGUGAAGCCCCGGUGAAUGUCGGCCGUAACUAUAACGGUCCUAAGGUAGCGAAAUUCCUUGUCGGGUAAGUUCCGACCUGCACGAAUCGUGUAACGAUAGUGGCGCUGUCUCAACGUGGAUCUCGGCGAAGUUGUAAUUCCGGUGAAAAUGCCGGAUACCUGCGGAAGGACGGAAAGACCCCAUGAACCUUUACUGUAUUCUGAUAUUGGUAUUUGGUUGUUCAUGUGUAGUAUAGGUGGGAGGCUUUGAAACCGCUACGCUAGUACCGGUGGAGCCAUCAGUGAAAUACCACCCUUGAAUUGUUGAAUAUCUAACCCUGACCCGUGAAACCGGGCGGGGGACCGUGUCAGAUGGUCAGUUUGACUGGGGCGGUUUCCUCCAAAAGCGUAACGGAGGAGUUCGAAGGUGCACUCAACACGGUUGGCAAUCGUGUGUGGAGCGUAAGGGUAUAAGUGCGCCUUACUGUGAGACCGACAGGUCGAGCAGUUGCGAAAGCAGGACCUAGUGAUCCAGUGAUGGAAAGUGGAAUCGUCAUUGCUCAUCGGACAAAAGGUACUCUGGGGAUAACAGGCUGAUAGCGCCCAAGCGUCCAUAGCGACGGCGCUGUUUGGCACCUCGAUGUCGGCUCAUCACAUCCUGGGGCUGAAGAAGGUCCCAAGGGUUCGGCUGUUCGCCGAUUAAAGUGGUACGCGAGCUGGGUUCAGAACGUCGUGAGACAGUUCGGUCCUUAUCCUCCGUAGGCGUAGGAUAUUUGACGGGAUCAUUCCUUAGUACGAGAGGACCGGGAAUGACUAACCUCUGGUGUUCCAGUUGCACUGUCAAGUGCAUUGCUGGGUAGCUAUGUUGGGACAGGAUAAGCGCUGAAAGCAUCUAAGCGCUAAGCCCACCCGAAGACUAGAUAUCCCAUCACGUAAUAGUGACUGAAGGCAGGUUGAAGACUACGACCUUGAUAGGCUGGAAGUGUAAGUGCAGCAAUGCAUUAAGCUAACCAGUACUAAUCAGCCGUGAGGCUUAAUCACCUUUUCU
This 2760-nucleotide ribosomal RNA is filed under the name Lentisphaerae bacterium GWF2_45_14. RNAcentral describes it as "bacterial LSU rRNA". It matches the Rfam family "Bacterial large subunit ribosomal RNA". The record is from RNAcentral. Lineage: Bacteria; Pseudomonadati; Lentisphaerota.